Aethina tumida (small hive beetle) is the source of this 768-nucleotide long non-coding RNA. RefSeq lists it as uncharacterized. The record is from RefSeq and is a predicted model, not a curated record. NCBI's taxonomy places the organism in Eukaryota, Metazoa, Arthropoda, Insecta, Coleoptera, Nitidulidae. The transcript is spliced from 2 exons.
CGUAAUAUUAUACAAAUAUGUUGUAAUCAACACAUACACAAAAAAUUUCUAAAAAACGAACCGUCAAAUAAGCCACAUAUUGGCAAAUCAAAACGAAUAAAGUAAACCUACUAGUGGCAAUCUUUAGUAAAGGUAAAUAUUCUUUACCAUGUUCAUCGAACAACGUGACAACAGCGCGUCUCUUUUAUUAUCAUCCGCAAACAACAUCAUUCAAGCAUGUGCAGUUCCAUGGGCAAUAAUCCUAAACCCAGCAUAAGUGCAUAAAUUCAUUUGCGUUCACCGCAUUACUAGCAGGAAAAUCUGCUCGUUCAACGUAAAAUUCCGACAACAAUUGUCUUUUCCAAGGAAAUGAUUCACGCUAUUUCGUAAACACGCACGAGGUGGCGCGCUCAGUGCGCAGGCCCGAGGACGACGUUGCCGAACGUCAUCCGUCAAAUUUUCCCUCUGUAUUCGAUGUGUGAACGAAGAUCUUGAAACGUUGUAUUGAACUUUUUCACCUUUCUGAUUGCGGCCACAAACUGUGUGAACGUUACCGAAUCGAGGGGCAAACAAAUCAUUCUACGAGGCUGUGUUAACAGGAAUAGAAAAUGAGGCCAACAGUCAGGUUGACGCCAGGUGGCGCUUCGGUGAAGUUAUUAUUUUGAACGAAACUCAUAUUUUUGAAAACAUAAUUUUAGGAUGUUUGCCAAUGACGUAAAUUAAGUUUAAGAAUUAGUUUAAUUUAAUGGUAUUUAUGACAGUUCAAAAAUAUAAAACCGGAAUUUUCAA